This 2787-nucleotide ribosomal RNA is filed under the name Triticum aestivum (bread wheat). Its description in RNAcentral is "partial small subunit ribosomal RNA". The record is from RNAcentral. Lineage: Eukaryota; Viridiplantae; Streptophyta; Magnoliopsida; Poales; Poaceae.
AUGCUAACGGCGACGAAGUCUCUGGUAGGCGGUGCAUGUGCCGCCCCGUCGCCGGCCCGGCGGCGGACGUUCGUGGUGCCCGAGGCUCGCCGGAAACCAGGCAAUGGCCGCCGCACCAGUGUGUCCAAGGUUGGCAGCACCAGCACCACCACCACUACCACCACCACCUUGUCGUCCGACUCCAAUGGGACGGCCGUUGGCACGGUCACCCGCCCAGACGCCCACGUCCGGGACCGCACGCAGACCACCGAGAUGAAGGCCACGGUGACGGUGCACAUGAGUAAGGCAGCCGGGGUUCGUGAUUUCCUGUACGAUCUCAUCCUCAAAACUUGGUUGCAUGUUGACCUCGUCAGCUCCGAAUUGGAUCCACAAACGGGGCAGGAGUGGGAGCCCAUCUCCGGGGCCGUCAAGCACUCAGGUAGAGUGGACGACGAGUGGGACAUGUACGAGGCCACCUUCAAGGUGCCGGGAUCCUUUGGACCCAUUGGCGCCGUUCAAGUCACAAACUACCACCACAGCGAGAUGUUGCUGGGGGACAUCGAGGUCUUCCCCACCGGCCAGGAGGAGUCCGCCGUCACGUUCCACUGCAACUCCUGGAUCGACCCAUCUCACUGCACCCCCGACAAGCGUGUUUUCUUUCCCGCGCGCUCGUACCUUCCGUCGCAGACGCCCAAGGGCGUGGAGGCGUUGCGCAAGCGUGAGCUCGAGAUCCUCCGCGGCACCGGCUGCGGCGAGCGCAAGGAACACGACCGCAUCUACGACUACGAUGUGUACAAUGACCUCGGCAACCCCGACGACGAAAAGAACCCCACCACACGGCCCGUGCUGGGUGGCAAGGAGCACCCCUACCCGCGGCGCUGCCGCACGGGCCGCCCUCGCAGCAAGAAAGACCCGUUUUCGGAGGAGAGGAGCCACAAGGACCACAUCUACGUGCCCCGGGACGAGGCCUUCACGGAGCGCAAGAUGGGAGCCUUCGACACCAAGAAGUUCAUGUCGCAGCUGCACGCCCUGACCACGGGCAUAAAGACCGCCAAACACAAGGACCAGAGCUUCCCCUCCUUGUCGGCCAUUGACAAGCUGUACGACGACAACUUCAGGAACCAGCCGGUGCAGCCCGAAGGGGGGAAGCUCAGGUUCGUCAUCGAUUUGCUUGAGACGGAGCUGCUCCACCUCUUCAAGCUCGAAGGGGCCGCGUUCCUCGAGGGGAUACGCAGGGUCUUCAAGUUUGAGACGCCAGAGAUUCAUGACAGGGACAAGUUUGCUUGGUUCAGAGACGAGGAGUUUGCGCGACAAACCAUCGCAGGGAUGAACCCAUUGAGCAUCCAACUAGUCACGGAGUUUCCUAUCAAGAGCAAGUUGGACGAGGCAACCUACGGCCCGGCAGACUCCCUCAUCACUGAAGAGCUGGUUGAAGAGCAGAUCAGACGUGUCAUGACAGUUGAGGAGGCCGUGGCUAACAAGAAGCUCUUCAUGCUGGACUACCAUGACUUGUUGCUGCCAUACGUCCUCAAGGUCCGCAAGCUCGAGGGCACCACCUUGUACGGCUCGCGCGCGCUCUUCUUCCUCACCGCCGACGGCACGCUCCGGCCCAUCGCCAUCGAGCUCACCAGGCCCAAGUCCAAGCGCAAGCCGCAGUGGCGCCAGGUCUUCACGCCUGGAUGCGACGGCAGCGUCACGGGGUCCUGGCUGUGGCAGCUCGCCAAGGCCCAUGUCCUGGCUCACGACGCCGGCGUCCACCAGCUCGUCAGCCACUGGCUGAGGACGCACGCCUGCACCGAGCCCUACAUCAUCGCCGCCAACCGGCAGCUCAGCCAGAUGCACCCCGUCUACCGCCUGCUGCACCCGCACUUCCGCUUCACCAUGGAGAUCAACGCGCAGGCGCGCGCGAUGCUCAUCAACGCCGACGGGAUCAUCGAGGGCUCCUUCGCGCCCGGGGAGUACUCCAUUGAGCUCAGCUCCGUGGCUUACGACCAGCAGUGGCGGUUCGACAUGGAGGCCCUGCCGGAAGACCUCAUCCGGAGGGGCAUGGCGGUCAGGAAGGAGAAUGGCGAGCUGGAGCUGGCCAUAGAGGACUACCCCUACGCCAACGACGGCCUGCUCAUCUGGGACGCCAUCAAGGAGUGGGCGUUGACCUACGUGGAGCACUACUACCCGUGCACCGCGGACAUCGUCGAUGACGAGGAGCUCCAGGCUUGGUGGACCGAGGUGCGCACCAAAGGCCACGCCGACAAGCAGGACGAGCCGUGGUGGCCCGAGCUGGACAGCCAUGAGAACCUGGCGCAGGCCCUGGCGACCAUCAUGUGGGUCACGUCGGCGCAUCACGCCGCCGUCAACUUCGGGCAGUACCCCAUGGCCGGGUACAUCCCCAACCGCCCGACCAUGGCCCGGAGGAACAUGCCGACCGAGAUGGGUGGCGACGACAUGCGCGCGUUCGUGGAGGCGCCGGAGAAGGUGCUGCUGGACACGUUCCCGUCCCAGUACCAGAGUGCCAUAGUCCUUGCCAUCUUGGACCUCCUGUCGACGCACUCGUCGGAUGAGGAGUACAUGGGCACGCACGAAGAGCCGUCAUGGAAACAGGAUGGGGUGAUCAGGCAGGCAUUUGACAAGUUCAAGGAGAGGACUAGGGACAUCGUGGAGCAGGUGGACGAGUGGAACAACGACCCCGACCGGAAAAACCGGCACGGCGCCGGCAUGGUGCCGUAUGUGCUGCUCAGGCCAUCGGACGGUGAUCCUACGGACGAGAAGAUGGUGAUGGAGAUGGGAAUCCCCAACAGCAUCUCCAUUUGA